This 253-nucleotide ribosomal RNA is filed under the name uncultured bacterium. RNAcentral describes it as "partial 16S ribosomal RNA". It matches the Rfam family "Bacterial small subunit ribosomal RNA", at positions 524 to 776 of the family's 1533-position model. The record is from RNAcentral.
UACGAAGGUCCCGAGCGUUAUUCGGAAUCACUGGGCGUAAAGAGUACGUAGGCGGUUUGGUAAGUCAGGUGUGAAAUCCCGGAGCUCAACUCCGGAACUGCAUCCGAUACUGCUAGACUUGAGUAAUGGAGGGGCAGGUGGAAUUCUCGGUGUAGCAGUGAAAUGCGUGGAUAUCGAGAGGAAGACCAAUGGCGAAGGCAGCCUGCUGGACAUUUACUGACGCUGAGGUACGAAGGCCAGGGUAGCGAAAGGG